GCAUGUCUAAGUACAUACCUUUGCACGGUGAAACCGCGAAUGGCUCAUUAAAUCAGUUAUGGUUCCUUAGAUAGUUCAUAUUACAUGGAUAACUGUGGUAAUUCUAGAGCUAAUACAUGCGAAAAGCUCCGACCGUAUGGGAAGAGCGCUUUUAUUAGACCAAAACCAAUGGGGUCGCAAGAUCCCUUUGUAUGGUGACUCUGGAUAACUUUGUGCUGAUCGCAUGGCCUCGAGCCGGCGACGUAUCUUUCAAAUGUCUGCCCUAUCAACUUUCGAUGGUAAGCGAUUUGCCUACCAUGGUUGUAACGGGUAACGGGGAAUCAGGGUUCGAUUCCGGAGAGGGAGCGUGAGAAAUGGCUACCACAUCUACGGAAGGCAGCAGGCGCGCAAAUUACCCACUCCUAGAUCGGGGAGGUAGUGACGAAAAAUAACAAUACCGGACUCUAUGAGGCUCGGUAAUUGAAAUGAGUACAGUUUAAAACCCUUAACGAGGAUCUAUUGGAGGGCAAGUCUGGUGCCAGCAGCCGCGGUAAUUCCAUCUCCAAUAGCGUAUAUUAAAGUUGUUGCAGUUAAAAAGCUCGUAGUUGGAUCUCGGGUACUAGCAUGUGGUACGCUUAAUUGCUGUUACUGCUUGUCUAGUCCUAAUCAAUCGGUUGGCCGUUUAUGCCCUUUAUUGGGUGUUUUCGGUAGCCGGUACGUUUACUUUGAGAAAAUUAGAGUGCUUAAAGCAGGCUUUACGCCUGAAUAAUGUUGCAUGGAAUAAUAGAAUAGGACCUCGGUUCUAUUUUGUUGGUUUUGUAGAGCAUUGAGGUAAUGAUUAAUAGGGACAGACGGGGGCAUUCGUAUUGCGGUGUUAGAGGUGAAAUUCUUGGAUCGCCGCAAGACGAACAACUGCGAAAGCAUUUGCCAAGAAUGUUUUCAUUAAUCAAGAACGAAAGUUGGAGGUUCGAAGACGAUUAGAUACCGUCCUAGUUCCAACCAUAAACGAUGCCAACUAGCGAUUAGCUGCUGUUAAUUAAACGACACAGCUAGCAGCUUCCGGGAAACCAAAGUUUUUGGGUUCCGGGGGAAGUAUGGUUGCAAAGCUGAAACUUAAAGGAAUUGACGGAAGGGCACCACCAGGAGUGGAGCCUGCGGCUUAAUUUGACCCAACACGGGAAAUCUCACCCGGCCCGGACACUGUAAGGAUUGACAGAUUGAGAGCUCUUUCUUGAUUCGGUGGGUGGUGGUGCAUGGCCGUUCUUAGUUGGUGGAGCGAUUUGUCUGGUUAAUUCCGAUAACGAACGAGGCUCUAGCCUGCUAAAUAGUACGCCGAUCUUUAGUCGGCGCGUACUUCUUAGAGGGACAAGUAGCGAUUAGCUACAC
RNAcentral lists this ribosomal RNA (1365 nucleotides) under metagenome. RNAcentral's name for it is "SSU rRNA". It matches the Rfam family "Eukaryotic small subunit ribosomal RNA", at positions 53 to 1439 of the family's 1831-position model. The record is from RNAcentral.